Molecule: long non-coding RNA, 243 nt
Filed under: Carica papaya (papaya)
Lineage: Eukaryota; Viridiplantae; Streptophyta; Magnoliopsida; Brassicales; Caricaceae
Description: long non-coding RNA (CPAP_LNC009071)
Source: RNAcentral
UUUACGGCUUGCCAAACCAUGACACGAUAUAUGACCACGGUUGUGCCAACCACAGUGGUCCUACAUGUUAACUAUGGCCACAACCAUACUUCGCCAAAGGUGGCCCCUACAAUCAUAUCACGUCACCACUCUCAUUAGAGGAUACACCGUCAUCCACAGGGAGUAGUCCUCUCACAUCUUUUCAGAAUAGAUGAGAGAAAAAAUAGAAACUUCUCGGAGAUAAAAAGCCUAACAAAAUACAUU